Molecule: non-coding RNA, 67 nt
Organism: Octadecabacter antarcticus 307
Lineage: Bacteria; Pseudomonadati; Pseudomonadota; Alphaproteobacteria; Rhodobacterales; Roseobacteraceae
Source: Rfam
GGGCACCUACGGGGGCCUAUAACAUCAGGGCCGCGCGAGCGGUCCGCCAAGCAAACGGAAGUAGCAA